RNAcentral lists this transfer RNA (76 nucleotides) under Clostridia bacterium. RNAcentral describes it as "tRNA-Arg". It matches the Rfam family "tRNA". Rfam says of the family: Transfer RNA (tRNA) molecules are approximately 80 nucleotides in length. Their secondary structure includes four short double-helical elements and three loops (D, anti-codon, and T loops). Further hydrogen bonds mediate the characteristic L-shaped molecular structure. tRNAs have two regions of fundamental functional importance: the anti-codon, which is responsible for specific mRNA codon recognition, and the 3' end, to which the tRNAs corresponding amino acid is attached (by aminoacyl-tRNA synthetases). tRNAs cope with the degeneracy of the genetic code in two manners: having more than one tRNA (with a specific anti-codon) for a particular amino acid; and 'wobble' base-pairing, i.e. permitting non-standard base-pairing at the 3rd anti-codon position. The record is from RNAcentral. Lineage: Bacteria; Bacillati; Bacillota; Clostridia.
GCCUUCGUAGCUCAGGGGAUAGAGCGUUCGCCUCCUAAGCGAAGGGUCGCGCGUUCGAAUCGCGCCGAGGGUGCCA